RNAcentral lists this long non-coding RNA (1431 nucleotides) under Chrysemys picta bellii (western painted turtle). Its description in RNAcentral is "lncRNA (ENSCPBG00000020267.1)". The record is from RNAcentral. Lineage: Eukaryota; Metazoa; Chordata; Testudines; Emydidae.
ACAUGAUGCCUGUGAGAAAGGCCACAUUGACAGCCCUGAUCCGUGUGAUUUGUCUUCCAGGCAGCGGCAUUCUGGGCAACCCCAGCCAGCACAUUUCACUAGGAUCCACGUGGAGUGUGACCCCAUCUCCAUGGACUAUUCUGUCUUGGGAUGAUUGGUAUCAAUCUUUUCUUCCUGACCCAAACUUGUAGCCUGCACCUCCUUCUAAAACAGAACCAACUCCAAACCCAAGUGCUGUGAUGCUGCAGUUGGCACCUGUCACUACGAACAACUAAGAUGACAUGAGCCACCAGCCUCAUUCCCCACAGUGACCUAAGCCGGGAUUGUAGAGCGUUUGAAAAAGGGGGGCAAAGGCAGCAGAGCUACGGUUCACCAUGGGCUAUCGGCAAAUGUAGGCGGGCUAAUGAAUCCAUCUAUCUUCUGGAUCCACUGGACCGAACAUGCACAUAUGCAGGGAAGCAGCAGACGGCGUCUACUACUCUCACCCUCGGAUUCCCUCGCAAUAGGGGUGCCUCAGACAGGCAGCUGUCUCAGCAAUUGAAGGAUGAGGAUUCCAUCCACAUUUCCAUGGGGAAAAUUACUUUUCAUUCCAGAUUUGCUCCAUGUUCCAGCAUUUGGCCUUUUUGUGCAUUCCCAAAGCAAAUGAAACGUAAGCAUGGAGUUUGCUAAUUGUUUGCAUAAUGGAAAUAUAUAUAUAUAUAGCUAACUUUGUGAAGGCUGAUGAGUUCUUGGAAUCAUCUAAUAGCAAAUCUUGAUUCCCUAAAUCUCUCUCUCUUUGCAUGUGCUAAUUGGUCUUGGCAUUAAUUAAUCUGAUUUCAUUAUAUUCUCUUUAAUUUGUCAAGAUAUAAUUUCUUUAUUGCACAAAGAAAUGCUUUAGAGAAUUGUCACAAUUGGAAUAAUUUCCACAACCCCCUCCCUCUCUUUAAAGUUACCAAGAGAAGUCAUCAAUUAAGAUAAUUUGCAUACACAUUAGGUUAAUUGUUUUAGUUUAGCCAAAUUUGUGGAAAUUUACAUAGCAAAUUGACCCUCCACAUUUUCACUUAAACAUAUAAAGCGCAAGAGAGAAUUGUGUUCGAAUUGAUAAUGAAAUGGAGUUUAUUUUGCAUGGUUCUCUUACUAAAAGAGGUCUAAUUAGACCAAGUAAUUUUUUAUUUCAUCCGUAAUUGCAAAACAAAUAAGCUCUUUGGCAGUUUUUUUCCUCUCUCUUUCCCUGUGUCACAUGGAUGGGGAGCAUUAAUAGGAAAGUCAUGUUCUCCUAAUUAAGCCCCAUUUGAUUUCAGCACAUUCUUCCAUCAGAACCUCUUUAGUUUCUUCUAGUUUUUCUUCUGCUUCAGUUGCUUAAGCUUCCUGGAACACCUAUUAAUAGACAACUCCCCCAUACUGAUCUGCCUGAAUUAAAAUAAAAAACCAAAAAGCCCUGUAACUAAGACA